UACGGAAGGCAGCAGGGGGGAAUAUUGCACAAUGGGCGCAAGCCUGAUGCAGCCAUGCCGCGUGUAUGAAGAAGGCCUUCGGGUUGUAAAGUACUUUCAGUCGUGAGGAAGGUGUUAAGGUUAAUAACCUUAGCAAUUGACGUUAGCGACAGAAGAAGCACCGGCUAACUCCGUGCCAGCAGCCGCGGUAAUACGGAGGGUGCGAGCGUUAAUCGGAAUUACUGGGCGUAAAGGGCACGCAGGCGGUUAAUUAAGUUGGAUGUGAAAUCCCCGGGCUUAACCUGGGAAUGGCAUUCAAGACUGGUUAGCUAGAGUCUUGUAGAGGGGGUAGAAUUCCAUGUGUAGCGGUGAAAUGCGUAGAGAUGUGGAGGAAUACCGGUGGCGAAGGCGGCCCCUGGACAAAGACUGACGCUCAUGUGCGAAAGCUGGGGAGCAAACAGGGAUUAGAUACC
Molecule: ribosomal RNA, 452 nt
Filed under: uncultured bacterium
Lineage: Bacteria
Description: bacterial SSU rRNA
Rfam family: Bacterial small subunit ribosomal RNA
Source: RNAcentral